RNAcentral lists this long non-coding RNA (649 nucleotides) under Eucalyptus grandis. RNAcentral's name for it is "long non-coding RNA (EGRA_LNC003066)". Lineage: Eukaryota; Viridiplantae; Streptophyta; Magnoliopsida; Myrtales; Myrtaceae. The record is from RNAcentral.
GUAGUACCUCCCAAUCCAGCUCGCCCUCUCCGCAUUCGAUUCCGCCCUCGCGAAAUCCUCCACCAGGCCCAGCAGCUCGCUCAGCUCCGCGAUGGCCCGGGCGCGCUCGGCCCCGGCGAGGUCGCCGCGGGCGGCGCGGAGGCUGGGGACGCGGGUGGCGAGGGAGUGGGCGAGGGAGAAGAGCGCUUUGUACUGGGAGUAGGGGAGCACCAGGCCCAGCAGCUCGCUCAGCUCCGCGAUGGCCCGGGCGCGCUCGGCCCCGGCGUGGUCGCCGCGGGCGGCGCGGAGGCUGGCGACGCGGGUGGCGAGGGAGUGGGCGAGGGAGAAGAGGGCUUUGUACUGGGAGUAGGGGAGGGAGUGGGCGAGGGAGAAGAAGAGGGUUUUGUACUGGGAGUCGGGGAGGGAGUGGGCGAGGGAGAAGAGGGUUUUGUACUGGGAGUCGGGGAGGAGGGAGUGGGCGAGGGAGAAGAAGAGGGUUUUGUACUGGGAGUCGGGGAGGGAGUGGGCGAGGGAGAAGAAGAGGGUUUUGUACUGGGAGUAGGGAAGGGAGUGGGCCGGCGGAGGCGCGGCGGCGAGGAAGAGGAGGAGGAGAAGGAGGACGGCGGCGGAGGAUGGGAGUCGCCGGCGUGCGAAACGGGCGGUCGCCAUU